UACGGAGGAGGCAAGCGUUAUCCGGAAUUAUUGGGCGUAAAGCGUCCGCAGGUGGCGAUUCAAGUCUGCGGUCAAAGCCUGGGGCUUAACCCUGGAACGGCCGUGGAAACUGAAUAGCUAGAGUGCAGUAGGGGUAGAGGGAAUUCCCGGUGUAGCGGUGAAAUGCGUAGAGCUCGGGAAGAACAUCGGUGGCGAAAGCGCUCUGCUGGACUGCAACUGACACUCAGGGACGAAAGCUAGGGGAGCGAAUGGG
RNAcentral lists this ribosomal RNA (253 nucleotides) under uncultured bacterium. RNAcentral describes it as "partial 16S ribosomal RNA". It matches the Rfam family "Bacterial small subunit ribosomal RNA", at positions 524 to 776 of the family's 1533-position model. The record is from RNAcentral.